This 326-nucleotide ribosomal RNA is filed under the name uncultured eukaryote. Its description in RNAcentral is "partial 18S ribosomal RNA". It matches the Rfam family "Eukaryotic small subunit ribosomal RNA", at positions 1470 to 1796 of the family's 1831-position model. The record is from RNAcentral.
CCCUUAGAUGUUCUGGGCCGCACGCGCGCUACACUGAUGCAUUCAACGAGUUCCUACCUUGGCCGAGAGGCCUGGGCAAUCUUUUGAACUUGCAUCGUGAUAGGGAUAGAUUAUUGCAAUUAUUAAUCUUGAACGAGGAAUUCCCAGUAAACGCAGAUCAUCAAUCUGCAUUGAUUACGUCCCUGCCCUUUGUACACACCGCCCGUCGCACCUACCGAUUGAAUGGUCCGGUGAAGCCUCGGGAUUGUGGUUAGUUUCCUUCAUUGGAAGUUAGCCGCGAGAACUUGUCUAAACCUUAUCAUUUAGAGGAGGGUGAAGUCGUAACA